This 253-nucleotide ribosomal RNA is filed under the name uncultured bacterium. RNAcentral describes it as "partial 16S ribosomal RNA". It matches the Rfam family "Bacterial small subunit ribosomal RNA", at positions 524 to 776 of the family's 1533-position model. The record is from RNAcentral.
UACGGAGGGUGCAAGCAUUAAUCGGAUUUAUUGGGCGUAAAGGGCGCGUAGGCGGGUCUGUAAGUCAUGUGUGAAAUACCAAAGCUCAACUUUGGCACUGCACCUGAAACUGCGGAUCUGGAGGAUUGGCGGAGAAAAUGGAAUUCCACGUGUAGCGGUGAAAUGCGUAGAUAUGUGGAAGAACACCAGUGGCGAAAGCGAUUUUCUAGCUUAUUCCUGACGCUGAGGCGCGAGAGCAAGGGGAGCAAACAGG